GAGUGAUAUGAUGGUAUACCAUCUUUCGGGACUGACUCUUGAUGUGGAGAGUUCCUUUUGCUUUACUGAUCACUC
Molecule: small nucleolar RNA, 75 nt
Organism: Nothobranchius furzeri (turquoise killifish)
Lineage: Eukaryota; Metazoa; Chordata; Actinopteri; Cyprinodontiformes; Nothobranchiidae
Source: Ensembl